AAGAGAACACCACAGAGAGGCCGGUUAGGGUCACUGCUCUGAUACCAUAUUGAAUUUUGUGAAUGGUAUAUUCAUCAUAAGACAAUCAGGUACAAGAGAUAGCAAAUAUAUAUGUGCUAGAGAGAAGAAAACAAGACUACAUAUCCCUCCUUGAUUUACGUCUAAAGCUAACAAAAAAGAACAAAUAAGACACAUCCCUUGAAUUAAGGGAAUUGACAACAAGACAAAUAAGACACAUCCCUUGAAUUAAGGGAAUUGACAACAAGAGACACAUCCCUUGAAUUAAGGGAAUUGACAACACUAUCUA
This 307-nucleotide long non-coding RNA is filed under the name Malus domestica (apple). RNAcentral describes it as "long non-coding RNA (MDOM_LNC014644)". Lineage: Eukaryota; Viridiplantae; Streptophyta; Magnoliopsida; Rosales; Rosaceae. The record is from RNAcentral.